Molecule: ribosomal RNA, 378 nt
Filed under: uncultured organism
Description: partial 16S ribosomal RNA
Rfam family: Bacterial small subunit ribosomal RNA
Source: RNAcentral
GAACCGGACAAACGUUAUUCGGGAAUUAUUGGGGCUUAAAGGGGUGCGUAGGCGGCGUGGCAAGUUGGAUGUGAAAUCCCUCGGGCUCAACCGAGGGAACUGCGUCCAAAACUGCCAUGCUUGAGGGAGACAGAGGUGAGCGGAACUUAGGGUGGAGCGGUGAAAUGCGUUGAUAUCCUAAGGAACACCAGUGGCGAAGGCGGCUCACUGGGUCUCUUCUGACGCUGAGGCACGAAAGCUAGGGGAGCGAACGGGAUUAGAUACCCCGGUAGUCCUAGCUGUAAACGAUGAGCACUUGGUUGGAGGAUUGUCACUGAUUUUCCGGCCGGAGCGAAAGUGUUAAGUGCUCCGCCUGGGGAGUAUGGUCGCAAAGGCUGA